This 232-nucleotide unclassified non-coding RNA is filed under the name plant metagenome. RNAcentral's name for it is "partial contains small subunit ribosomal RNA, internal transcribed spacer 1, and 5.8S ribosomal RNA". The record is from RNAcentral.
UCUCCGUAGGUGAACCUGCGGAGGGAUCAUUACAGAGUUCAUGCCCUUCCGGGUCUCUCUCCCACCUUGUGUUAUCGUCACCUUUGUUGCUUUUGUGGGCCGCCCAGGCCUUGGCCCGUCUACCGGCUCGCGCGGGUACGCCGCCGCUAAAGGACCCUCAACUCUUGCAUAUAAAUGUCUCCGUAGUCCUAUGUAACAGUUAAAACUUCCAACAACGGAUCUCUUGGUUCUG